Molecule: ribosomal RNA, 492 nt
Filed under: uncultured bacterium
Lineage: Bacteria
Description: partial 16S ribosomal RNA
Rfam family: Bacterial small subunit ribosomal RNA
Source: RNAcentral
AGUGAACGCUGGCGGUAGGCCUAACACAUGCAAGUCGAACGGCAGCACAGUAAGAGCUUGCUCUUACGGGUGGCGAGUGGCGGACGGGUGAGGAAUACAUCGGAAUCUACUUUUUCGUGGGGGAUAACGUAGGGAAACUUACGCUAAUACCGCAUACGACCUACGGGUGAAAGCAGGGGAUCUUCGGACCUUGCGCGAUUGAAUGAGCCGAUGUCGGAUUAGCUAGUUGGCGGGGUAAAGGCCCACCAAGGCGACGAUCCGUAGCUGGUCUGAGAGGAUGAUCAGCCACACUGGGACUGAGACACGGUCCAGACUCCUACGGGAGGCAGCAGUGGGGAAUAUUGGACAAUGGGCGCAAGCCUGAUCCAGCCAUACCGCGUGGGUGAAGAAGGCCUUCGGGUUGUAAAGCCCUUUUGUUGGGAAAGAAAAGCAGCAGGUUAAUACCCCGCUGUUCUGACGGUACCCAAAGAAUAAGUACCGGCUAACUUCGUG